CAUUAAUAUAUAAGUUUGUAUAUAAAUUAUAUUAGCUACAUAUAUUGUUUAAUGGAUAAGUUUUAGUAUUAAAUUAUAUAAUUAUAUCACCACGAUGGAUAAAUUGUAAAUGUUUUCCACCUAGUGACUAAACUAGUACGUGGCUAAUUUAGGAUCUCUUAUUUUGUUAGUUGUCUUUACUAGCUAUGUAUAUUGGUGUCACAAUCAAACACCACCGCCUAUGAAUAUUUUAAGUUGCAGCAAAACAUUUGUUCUUCUUUGUAUUUUAAACGAUGUGGAGCAGCUGUAUAUUUUUUAGGGUUUCCUUUAUGAAAUUUCCUCAAUUCUUUGAAAGCAAGUCAGAUAGUACUUCAUAAUGAAGUAAUGUGACGGGAAGCUUUAAGAAGGCGACCCAAGUUCUAUUUGCUGUCUACGACCUUUACGAGCUCAUACGAGCAUCCAAGACGAAGGAGCAACAGACCUGAGGUAGCUUGGAUAUCGAGAAGCAGGUUAUCAGGUAUGUUAAGGCUAUUCCUUCUUUUAUUUUGGCAUGAUCUAUGACAAGUGCGAAACGUAAUGAUAUUCAUAAUGAAUCCACUCCUAGAUGUAGGAGUUCACGUUCUUAUGUUGGUAUUGGUGUUGUUCAUAUUUUGAGUUCCUUGACUUCUUAAGUUCCGAAGGGGCAUCCAUAAG
This is a long non-coding RNA of Lycium barbarum (goji berry), 672 nucleotides long. RefSeq lists it as uncharacterized. The record is from RefSeq and is a predicted model, not a curated record. The transcript is spliced from 3 exons. Lineage: Eukaryota; Viridiplantae; Streptophyta; Magnoliopsida; Solanales; Solanaceae.